UACGGAGGGUGCAAGCGUUAUCCGGAUUCACUGGGUUUAAAGGGUGCGUAGGUGGGCAGGUAAGUCAGUGGUGAAAUCUCCGGGCUUAACCCGGAAACUGCCAUUGAUACUAUCUGUCUUGAAUGUCGUGGAGGUUAGCAGAAUAUGUCAUGUAGCGGUGAAAUGCUUAGAUAUGACAUAGAAUACCCAUUGCGAAGGCAGCUAACUACGCGAUAAUUGACGCUGAUGCA
RNAcentral lists this ribosomal RNA (230 nucleotides) under uncultured bacterium. RNAcentral describes it as "partial 16S ribosomal RNA". It matches the Rfam family "Bacterial small subunit ribosomal RNA", at positions 524 to 753 of the family's 1533-position model. The record is from RNAcentral.